Molecule: long non-coding RNA, 3711 nt
Filed under: Arabidopsis lyrata
Lineage: Eukaryota; Viridiplantae; Streptophyta; Magnoliopsida; Brassicales; Brassicaceae
Description: long non-coding RNA (ALYR_LNC001488)
Source: RNAcentral
CCGAAUCUUUGUGGCAGCUUUAGAGAAUCCAUAAAAUUGAGAUUCCACGCUUGAAACCUAGAUGAAAGCAUCACGUUACAUUUAUUUUUCAGGGUGAAAAUAUGGGUCUUGCUACUUGAACCGGACAGAGGGAGAGACCGUCAUGGAAGCAUCGAUUUCUCUUUCGCCAAAGUUCAUAGAUCGCACCCUUGAAGGAGGGCUUGUCUUUUGUGCUUAGAUACUGAAGUUGACAACCAAAGGAUGACUUGAUUGGAGGAGAUGAGAUUUGAAGCCGUUGUAUUAUGAAUCGCCAAACUGAUCAGUAGAAAAUACGCAUUCAAAAGAUAAAUGAUUUUGAGAUUCUUGGGCUAAGCCACAAAUGAGACAAUCUAACUCAACAUCAUAUCUGAUAUAAUACCUUACGUUAGAACUUACAAAAUAACUCAAUUGUUUACGUUACAUUUAAUAUGGAUUUGUUCUAAAAUUAUGUAAAAUAUAAAUGGUUCAAUUUGUUCAUAUUCUUAGGCCGUGAAUGGUGACCAAAAGGCGGUACGGUUUUGAAGUCUUUUUGGAAUAACACAUAUACAUUCACCAUUCACAUUAAUUUUAAUAAAUUGGCGUUUUUUUGAAAAAUGAAAAAAGGACAGAACGCGUAAUUGACCAACAGAUAAAGGUAUGAACCGCUUUUAAAAUGAGAAACAGAUUUUACCCAGCGAUCCAACCAAAACCGCACUGGAUAAACUUUUUUUUUUUGCUUUUUUUCUUUUUCGAUUUUUAUUAAUAUACACCUGAAAAACAAAAGAAAAACUCUCUCUCUUACUCACGCUAUCUCUCAUCACUCUCUCAGAUUUGUAUUUGUUUUAUAUUCUUUUCUUUUGAAUAGUUUUUUUCUCUAGUUUUGAUUUUGAGAAAGUGCAGUGAAUAACCAACAAAAAUUUAAUAAUUCAUUAAGUAACCAUAUAACGCUUAUGGCUAUGAUAUUUUGUGUGUAACCUAUAAUAUAUACCAUUUUGCCCUUUGCUACCAUGUCACUAUGUCAGCUUCUUUUGUCUAUAUCAUUUAUCAUCCUCUAGUGAUAUAUCUUCCCUGACGUCUCCUUCCCUCUUAAUUACAUCAGUUAAUUAUAAAAAAACAGACCAAUUCAUAACUCUCUCUUGUAUUCAUUUUUCUUUUAAAACUAGUAAUUAAUAUUAAAAAAGGAAGCAAAAUUCUAUUGUAAAUUUUAUAUUUGUCGAAAUAUUAGUUGCCAUAGUAUAUUACUGUUUUCAAAUAGAAUUAUUGAAAUAUUAGUGUAUAGAUUAUAAGUAAUUACUCGAGCAGUUAUAGAAAGUUACAAAUAAUGACAAGAAAAAUUAGUGAGAUUUUAAAUAUUCUCACACAAUUAUAUAAAAAGAUUCGCCACUCUAUAUAAAACACAAAUUAUUUUAUUCUACAAUUUUAAUGGUCAAUAAUUUAGAAUGGUUUUAAGUGUUAAAUAUAUUUCUUAGGGGGUGUUCUUUAAUCAUGGAGUUAAAGUCAAUUCUUUAAGGUUUAGAUUUGCUUUCUAAUAUUGUUUUUAAGAAUCUGUUUGCAUGGAUUUCAAAAUCUCUAUAGUAUAUCUUGGAUUUUGAUUCUAAUAAUUUACUCAUGAAACUCCAAAGAAGUUUCAUUUCAAAUGAUUUGAUAUACAAAGAUUUUUCAAGUCUUUUAGUUUUGAAUAACACUGAAUUUUAAUGAAAUAUUUUAAAUCUUAGUUGAAUAACACCAAACUAUUAAAAUCUAAUGAAGUAUAAGAUCCAAUAACACUAGAUUUUAAAGUUAGAUUUAGAAUCAUUAGUUGAAUAACACUGGAUUAGAGUUGGAUUUCAAUUCUAUUAAAAUCCAUCAUUGAAUAACACCACCUUAGAGUAUAGUAUUCUUUCUUUAGCAUGCAUUUAAGUUGACCAUUUGGGUUUCCUCAAUUGAAUCCCUUAGGGUAUAGCUUUUGUUAGAUUAACGUGCGUUUGACUCAGCAGUUUGAAUUUUCUAUAAUUUGGUUUGCAUUUAAUUGAUCAUUUGAAUUCUCUAUAUAAUAUCUCUUAAGUAUAACUCAUAUUCGGCGUAUAUUUAACACUAAUUUCUAUAAAAAAAAUUAACAUUCUUAUUCUUUCAAAGAAAUUGUAAAAACAUAAGUUUUAGAGCUUUAGUUUAUUUAUAAGGGGCUUUUGCAAAAAUACCACUUUUCAAAAAUACCUCUUUUUUAAAACCUUAUAAAAAAUGCUCUUAAAAAUAUAAGAUUUACCCAAAUAUGUAUGUAAUAUUAUUAAAACAUACACAAACUACAUUUCUAUGUAUCUAAAAUCUUAUAAAUACUUUAUAAAUACCUUAUAAAUGCAUUUUAAAUACCUUUAAAAACCUUUAAAAUAUCUUGUAAAACCUUUGAAAAACCUUAAAAAUCCUUAAAAAAUAACUUAUAAAACCUUUAAAAACACCUUAUAAAACCUUAUAAAUACUUGGAUCGAGUCUUCAAGUAGUAGUUACAAUCCAUAAGUACCUUAUAAACCUAAUAAAACUUUAUAAAAAUUUCAGAUUUAAAAAGGGGCAUUUUUGAAAAUGGAAAUCUAAAAGGGGCAUUUUUGAAAAAGGACACACCAAAAGGGGUAUUUUUAACAAUUUCCCUAUUUAUAAUCUAAAAUUUAGUUGGUUAAAAUGACAAUUUAAUAGAGGAACACACUUACUAUUUUAAUCUAGAUAUAUUUAUUUUAAUCUAGAUGUCUAUAUAGAAUAGUUUCUUAGUUAUUGUUGAUACUAUUUACUGUUUAAAGAAAUACUUAUCUGUUUUUUAAAAUUCAAAUCUUGCUGUAUGCAGAAAAAUAUCAAGGUUUUUUUUUAUUUGUUACAAGUUUUAAUUCAACAUUACUUUGAGUUAAUGUUACAAACAAAAUUACUUGGGAAAAUCAUUUUCUAACAAGAAGAAAGAGACAGAGGUACUUAUGAAUAUCUCUCUACAGCCAACACUAUUUCUCUCGCUAUACGUUAUUCUCCCUAAAUUUUCAGACACUUUGGUAAUUUCACAAGGCCUUUUAGUUACUUUCUUAAUUGAUGGAAUCAUGGUGCUAUAUUCUUUAUUUCAUUAUGAAUUUUGGUUAUUCAGCAAAUUGGUCCUUUGAUUUUCUUUUCAAUAGUUUUUAUACAAACAAAAAAUAUACAUAACUCAUAAUAUAAAUUCAAAUAUUAUAGUUAAUUAAACCGAUUGAGAGUUAAAAUAUUGAUUCUAAAGUCCUUUAUAUUUUAAAAUUUUCAAAUAAUUUUCUAAUAUAUAAACUAGAUUUAUUUAAAUUUUACCAAAAAUUACUCAAUUAUUACAUUAAAUUAUUAAAAUUUGAUGUAUACUUUUAUGAUUGGAUUAAUAAUUGUCUUAUAUAUAUACACUAUAAAGUUAAAUCAAAAAAAUAUUAACUAUAUUUUUAAAAAUUCUAUAUGUAUCCGGCAAAUUAUUUUUUCACGAAUCAAAUAUUAUUUCGUACCUCUUAUUCUACAAAAACCGCACUUAUCCCGCAAAUAAAUUUUUCCUGCUUGUACCGCAGUUGGAUCGUACCGCACUGAAAACCUGCUUUUUCUACAUAACUAAAUACGCUGUCACCAUUCGGAUCCUUAAAUUUAUUGGUAAAAACAGUAAUUGUAAUGUAAUUUUAUAAUGAUAAAAUAUAAUAUAUGACUAACAUAAAAAUUAUAAUUAUUUCGUUUAAAAUAAGCAAAAAUGACGAGUGGGAC